Molecule: non-coding RNA, 1060 nt
Organism: Cajanus cajan (pigeon pea)
Lineage: Eukaryota; Viridiplantae; Streptophyta; Magnoliopsida; Fabales; Fabaceae
Source: RefSeq, a predicted model, not a curated record
AGAAGAGUUCCCACAACAAGCUCCAACAUCUAGACGUACUGAUCGUGAGUCUUCACAACAUUGGAAUGUUGAUGCCAUAGACUCAGAAGGAGUUAUAAAGAAGAUUAAGAUAAAGGUUAGGGAAGUUAAUAACUUACCUAGUGGGGAACGCAUCGUUGUGGAGUUUGAUGACCAAGGCCAAGCAUUUGGACAAGCACAAGGCCUACUUGCUGGAUUUUGUGGAAUCUUAGCAACUGAUUGUAACUUGUUUCCAAUCAAUUUUGAAAGGUGGUCAGGGAAAACAGGCAUGCCUAAAUGUUACUUUGAUGAUUGUUAUUUAACAAUCUUAAAGCAAAAAUAUUGUUUUAGGACCAUUGAAGCUACUGCAAUACAAUAUUGUAAGCUUAGUAUUGGAAAGAAGUGGGCUGCCUUCAGGCAAAGUUUAUGGAAUGAGUUCAAUGAUCCUACCAAGACUAGAGAUGAAAUUAUAAGUAAUGUGCCAGUAGGUAUAGAUAAGGAUCAAUGGGCUCAUUUUGUUAAUUAUCGUAUGAAACCAUCGACAUUGGAGCUUUGUAGAAGGAAUAAAGAAAUUUGAGGCAAGCAAAAAAUUCCACAUACAGGUGGUUCUAAGUCCAAUGCAAGAAGAAGGCAUGAGAUGUUUUUGGAAACUGGUCAAAAUCCUAGUCAUGGAAAACUAUUUAUUGAAACUCAUAAGAGAAAGGAUGGAUCUUAUGUAAAUGAUGCAACAAAGACAAUAGGGGAACAAAUUGAAGUUGGUCUGACCCAAAGCACUACAGAUGAAUCUGAAAUUUCUCCUAAUGAUGUUGUUGGUAGAGUGUUUGGGCCAGAACACUCUAGGAGAGUGAGAUGCAUGGGUAUGGGGGCAGCUCCUACUAAUACAUUCCGUAAUACUAGACUUCGAAUUAGUGAUUUGAGCCUCUCUUCAUCCAAUAUUGCUUCAUCAUCAUCAUGUUCUAACCAGUGCAAACAAAAGUUCAAUCUUUUGGAAUCCCAACUACAAGGAACAUUGAAUGCCCUUAAGGCCUAUACAAUAAUGAAGGAAGGAAAAAUUCCUGAUGAA